GUUUGAUCCUGGCUCAGAUUGAACGCUGGCGGUAUGCUUAACACAUGCAAGUCGAACGGUAACAGCGAGAGCUUGCUCUCGGCUGACGAGUGGCGGACGGGUGAGUAACGCGUAGGAAUUUGCCUGAUAGUGGGGGACAACAUGUGGAAACGCAUGCUAAUACCGCAUACGCCCUACGGGGGAAAGCGGAGGAUCUUCGGACUUCGUGCUAUCAGAUAAGCCUGCGUUAGAUUAGCUAGUUGGUAGGGUAAUGGCCUACCAAGGCGACGAUCUAUAGCUGGUUUGAGAGGAUGAUCAGCCACACUGGGACUGAGACACGGCCCAGACUCCUACGGGAGGCAGCAGUGGGGAAUAUUGGACAAUGGGGGCAACCCUGAUCCAGCAAUGCCGCGUGUGUGAAGAAGGCCUGCGGGUUGUAAAGCANUUUCANUUGGGAAGAAANGANNGUUGUUAAUACCAGCUNUUCUUGA
RNAcentral lists this ribosomal RNA (470 nucleotides) under uncultured prokaryote. RNAcentral describes it as "bacterial SSU rRNA". It matches the Rfam family "Bacterial small subunit ribosomal RNA", at positions 11 to 472 of the family's 1533-position model. The record is from RNAcentral.